This 551-nucleotide ribosomal RNA is filed under the name uncultured beta proteobacterium. Its description in RNAcentral is "bacterial SSU rRNA". It matches the Rfam family "Bacterial small subunit ribosomal RNA", at positions 355 to 897 of the family's 1533-position model. Lineage: Bacteria; Pseudomonadati; Pseudomonadota; Betaproteobacteria. The record is from RNAcentral.
UGGGGAAUUUUGGACAAUGGGCGCAAGCCUGAUCCAGCCAUGCCGCGUGUGUGAAGAAGGCCUUCGGGUUGUAAAGCACUUUCGGACGGAACGAAAUCGCGCGAUCUAAUAAGUCGCGUGGAUGACGGUACCGUAAGAAGAAGCACCGGCUAACUACGUGCCAGCAGCCGCGGUAAUACGUAGGGUGCGAGCGUUAAUCGGAAUUACUGGGCGUAAAGUGUGCGCAGGCGGCGCCGCAAGUCGAGUGUGAAAGCCCCGGGCUUAACUUGGGAAUUGCGCUCGAAACUAUGGUGCUGGAGUGUGGCAGAGGAAGGUGGAAUUCCACGUGUAGCGGUGAAAUGCGUAGAGAUGUGGAGGAACACCGAUGGCGAAGGCAGCCUUCUGGGCCAACACUGACGCUCAUGCACGAAAGCGUGGGGAGCAAACAGGAUUAGAUACCCUGGUAGUCCACGCCCUAAACGAUGAUGACUAGUUGUUGGAGGAGUUAAAUCCUUUAGUAACGCAGCUAACGCGUGAAGUCAUCCGCCUGGGGAGUACGGUCGCAAGAUUAA